This 674-nucleotide ribosomal RNA is filed under the name uncultured Actinomycetes bacterium. Its description in RNAcentral is "bacterial SSU rRNA". It matches the Rfam family "Bacterial small subunit ribosomal RNA", at positions 50 to 725 of the family's 1533-position model. The record is from RNAcentral. Lineage: Bacteria; Bacillati; Actinomycetota; Actinomycetes.
AACACAUGCAAGUCGAACGAUGAACCUCACUUGUGGGGGGAUUAGUGGCGAACGGGUGAGUAACACGUGAGUAACCUGCCCUUGACUCUGGGAUAAGCCUGGGAAACCGGGUCUAAUACUGGAUACGACCUUCCCGCGCAUGCGGUGUUGGUGGAAAGCUUUUGUGGUUUUGGAUGGACUCGCGGCCUAUCAGCUUGUUGGUGGGGUAAUGGCCUACCAAGGCGACGACGGGUAGCCGGCCUGAGAGGGUGACCGGCCACACUGGGACUGAGACACGGCCCAGACUCCUACGGGAGGCAGCAGUGGGGAAUAUUGCACAAUGGGCGCAAGCCUGAUGCAGCGACGCCGCGUGAGGGAUGAAGGUCUUCGGGUUGUAAACCUCUUUCAGUAGGGAAGAAGCUGGUCCUUUUGGGGUUGGUGACGGUACCUGCAGAAGAAGCGCCGGCUAACUACGUGCCAGCAGCCGCGGUAAUACGUAGGGCGCAAGCGUUAUCCGGAAUUAUUGGGCGUAAAGAGCUCGUAGGCGGUUUGUCGCGUCUGCCGUGAAAGUCCGGGGCUUAACUCCGGAUCUGCGGUGGGUACGGGCAGACUAGAGUGCAGUAGGGGAGACUGGAAUUCCUGGUGUAGCGGUGAAAUGCGCAGAUAUCAGGAGGAACACCGAUGGCGAAGGCAGG